UACGUAGGGUGCGAGCGUUAUCCGGAAUUAUUGGGCGUAAAGAGCUCGUAGGCGGUUUGUCGCGUCUGCUGUGAAAACUGGAGGCUCAACCUCCAGCCUGCAGUGGGUACGGGCAAACUAGAGUGCGGUAGGGGAGAUUGGAAUUCCUGGUGUAGCGGUGGAAUGCGCAGAUAUCAGGAGGAACACCGAUGGCGAAGGCAGAUCUCUGGGCCGUAACUGACGCUGAGGCACGAAGGCCAGGGGAGCAAACGGG
This 253-nucleotide ribosomal RNA is filed under the name uncultured bacterium. RNAcentral's name for it is "partial 16S ribosomal RNA". It matches the Rfam family "Bacterial small subunit ribosomal RNA", at positions 524 to 776 of the family's 1533-position model. The record is from RNAcentral.